RNAcentral lists this unclassified non-coding RNA (215 nucleotides) under Lagenophora gracilis. RNAcentral describes it as "partial ITS2". The record is from RNAcentral. Lineage: Eukaryota; Viridiplantae; Streptophyta; Magnoliopsida; Asterales; Asteraceae.
AUCGUGUCGCUCCCACCAUUCCUUCCUUCGGGAUGCUUGGCUGGGGGCGGAUAUUGGUCUCCCGUUCCUCACCGAGCGGUUGGCCAAAAUAAGAGUCCCUUUUGACGGACGCACGACUAGUGGUGGUUGACAAAACCCGGAAUKGUGUUGUGGGUCUUGUCAAAAGGGUGCAUCAUAAUAGACCCAACGCGUUGUCAUGUAACGACGCUUCGACC